GAUGAACGCUGGCGGCGUGCCUAAUACAUGCAAGUCGAGCGAACAGAUGAGGAGCUUGCUCCUCUGACGUUAGCGGCGGACGGGUGAGUAACACGUGGAUAACCUACCUAUAAGACUGGGAUAACUUCGGGAAACCGGAGCUAAUACCGGAUAAUAUAUUGAACCGCAUGGUUCGAUAGUGAAAGACGGUUUUGCUGUCACUUAUAGAUGGAUCCGCGCCGCAUUAGCUAGUUGGUAAGGUAACGGCUUACCAAGGCAACGAUGCGUAGCCGACCUGAGAGGGUGAUCGGCCACACUGGAACUGAGACACGGUCCAGACUCCUACGGGAGGCAGCAGUAGGGACUCUUCCGCAAUGGGCGGAAGCCUGACGGAGCAACGCCGCGUGAGUGAUGAAGGUCUUCGGAUCGUAAAACUCUGUUAUUAGGGAAGAACAAAUGUGUAAGUAACUAUGCACGUCUUGACGGUACCUAAUCAGAAAGCAACGGCUAACUACGUG
RNAcentral lists this ribosomal RNA (497 nucleotides) under uncultured bacterium. RNAcentral's name for it is "partial 16S ribosomal RNA". It matches the Rfam family "Bacterial small subunit ribosomal RNA", at positions 28 to 507 of the family's 1533-position model. The record is from RNAcentral.